RNAcentral lists this ribosomal RNA (1131 nucleotides) under uncultured fungus. Its description in RNAcentral is "eukaryotic LSU rRNA". The stretch from base 498 to 1131 matches the Rfam family "Eukaryotic large subunit ribosomal RNA", at positions 1 to 649 of the family's 3401-position model. Lineage: Eukaryota; Fungi. The record is from RNAcentral.
AAGUCGUAACAAGGUUUCCGUAGGUGAACCUGCGGAAGGAUCAUUAACGAGUUCAUGCCCUAACGGGUAGACCUCCACCCUUGAAGAUAUACAAUUGUUGCUUUGGCGGGCCGCUUCGGCUACCUAUUGGGUAUGUGCCCGCCAGAGGAUCUAAAUCCUGAAAUAAAGUGUCGUCUNAGUACUAUAUAAUAGUUAAAACUUUCAACAACGGAUCUCUUGGUUCUGGCAUCGAUGAAGAAUGCAGCGAAAUGCGAUAAGUAAUGUGAAUUGCAGAAUUCAGUGAAUCAUCGAAUCUUUGAACGCACAUUGCGCCCCUUGGUAUUCCGGGGGGCAUGCCUGUUCGAGCGUCAUUAUAACCCUCAAGCUUAGCUUGGUGUUGGAGCCUGCUACCUAGCAGCUCUUAAAAUCAGUGGCGGUGCUGUCUGGCUCUAAGCGUAGUACUUCUCUCGCUAUGGUGUCCAAGCGGUAUCUUGCCAAUAACCCUAAUUUUCUAUGGUUGACCUCGGAUCAGGUAGGGAUACCCGCUGAACUUAAGCAUAUCAAUAAGCGGAGGAAAAGAAACCAACAGGGAUUGCCUCAGUAACGGCGAGUGAAGCGGCAACAGCUCAAAUUUGAAAUCUGGCUCUUUCAGGGUCCGAGUUGUAAUUUGUAGAAGAUGCUUUGGGUGUGGCUCCGGUCUAAGUUCCUUGGAACAGGACGUCAUAGAGGGUGAGAAUCCCGUAUGUGACUGGCUGCCUUCGCCUAUGUAAAGCUCUUUCGACGAGUCGAGUUGUUUGGGAAUGCAGCUCAAAAUGGGUGGUAAAUUUCAUCUAAAGCUAAAUAUUGGCCAGAGACCGAUAGCGCACAAGUAGAGUGAUCGAAAGAUGAAAAGCACUUUGGAAAGAGAGUUAAACAGUACGUGAAAUUGUUGAAAGGGAAGCGCUUGCAAUCAGACUUGCACGCAGUUGAUCAUCCGGUGUUCUCACCGGUGCACUCUGCUGCGUUCAGGCCAGCAUCGGUUUUGGUGGUUGGAUAAAGGCCUUGGGAAUGUAGCUUCUUUCGGGGAGUGUUAUAGCCCUCGGUGCAAUGCAGCCUACCGGGACCGAGGACCGCGCUUCGGCUAGGAUGCUGGCGUAAUGGUUGUAAGCGACC